AAUCGAACCCGGAGAUAGCUGGUUCUCCCCGAAAUAGCUUUAGGGCUAGCGUCGCAGCGAGAGAGCCGUGAAGGUAGAGCACUGAAUAUGCGAUGGCCGCAUCCCGCGGUACUGAGCAUAAUCAAACUCCGAAUGUCACGGUGUCAUCUGCGGCAGUCAGACGGCGAGUGAUAAGGUCCGUCGUCAAGAGGGAAACAGCCCAGACCAUCAGCUAAGGUCCCAAAGUGCAUGCUAAGUGGAAAAGGAAGUGGAGACGUGCAGACAACUAGGAGGUUGGCUCAGAAGCAGCCAUCCUUCAAAGAGUGCGUAACAGCUCACUAGUCGAAUGACUCUGCGCCGAUAAUUUACCGGGGCUAAGCAUGACACCGAAGCUAUGGACAGGAAUGUGGUAGGGGAGCAUUGCAUGCAGCGGAGAAGCAUGACCGGGAGGGCAUGUGGAGCGCAUGGAAGAGAGAAUGCCGGCGUGAGUAGCGGCACGUGGGUGAGAAUCCCACGCACCGAUGGCCCAAGGUCUCCAGAGGAAGGCUCGUCCUCUCUGGGAUAGUCGGGACCUAAGGCGAGGCCGAAAGGCGUAGCCGAUGGACGACGGGUGGAUAUUCCCGUACCCGAUGUGUGGCGAUGGAGUGACGGAGAAGGCUCAGGCAACCAGCUGCUGGAAUAGCUGGGGCAAGCGAGAUACCUGCGCACCAGGGAAAUCCGGUGCGCAUAAGGGGAAGGCGCGAUGCAUACGGAAAGCUUCGGCAAGUACGGAAAAGCUGAGAGCAGGCUUCCAGGAAAAGCUUCUAGCACAACACACAUCGGCCCGUACCGAAAAUGGACACACAUGGGCAAGGAGAGAAUCCUGAGGUGAGCGAGAGAACUAUAGCUAAGGAACUCUGCAAAAUGACCCCGUAACUUAGGGAGAAGGGGUGCUCCAGAAAUGGAGCCGCAGUAAAACGGCCCAAGCGACUGUUUACCAAAAACACAGCUCUCUGCGAAGGCGCAAGCCGAAGUAUAGGGGGUGACGCCUGCCCGGUGCUGGAAGGUCAAGGGGAGCUGUCAGCGCAAGCGAAGCAGCGAGCCGAAGCCCCAGUAAACGGCGGCCGUAACUAUAACGGUCCUAAGGUAGCGAAAUUCCUUGUCGGGCAAGUUCCGACCCGCACGAAAGGCGUAACGAUUUGGGCGCUGUCUCAGCUGUAGACUCGGUGAAGUCUUAGUACCUGUGAAGAUGCAGGUUGCCCGCGACUAGACGGAAAGACCCCAUGGAGCUUCACUGCAGGUUGACAUUGGGCUUGGAUGCAUGAUGUACAGGAUAGGUGGGAGGCUGUGAGCCGUGCGCGCCAGCGUACGGGGAGCCGCUGUUGGGAUACCACCCUUCAUGCAUCUAGGUCCUAACCGGAGGCAACGGGCCACGGGACAGUGUCAGUCGGGCAGUUUGACUGGGGCGGUCGCCUCCCAAAGAGUAACGGAGGCGCCCAAAGAUACCCUCAGCAUGGAUGGAAACCAUGCAUAGAGUGCAAAGGCAUAAGGGUGUCUGACUGCGAGACAUACAGGUCGAGCAGGGACGAAAGUCGGGCUUAGUGAUCCGGCGGAUCCGAAUGGAAGGGCCGUCGCUCAACGGAUAAAAGCUACCCUGGGGAUAACAGGCUGAUCUCCCCCAAGAGUUCACAUCGACGGGGAGGUUUGGCACCUCGAUGUCGGCUCAUCGCAUCCUGGAGCUGAAGUCGGUUCCAAGGGUUGGGCUGUUCGCCCAUUAAAGCGGUACGCGAGCUGGGUUCAGAACGUCGUGAGACAGUUCGGUCCCUAUCUGUCGUGGGCGCAGGAGGUUUGAGGAGAGCUGCCCCUAGUACGAGAGGACCGGGGUGGACGGACCGAUGGUGCACCAGUUGUCACGCCAGUGGCACAGCUGGGCAGCCAAGUCCGGACGGGAUAAGCGCUGAAGGCAUCUAAGCGUGAAGCCCCCUCCAAGAUGAGACCUCCCAUUGG
RNAcentral lists this ribosomal RNA (1965 nucleotides) under human gut metagenome. Its description in RNAcentral is "bacterial LSU rRNA". It matches the Rfam family "Bacterial large subunit ribosomal RNA", at positions 831 to 2820 of the family's 2925-position model. The record is from RNAcentral.